This 390-nucleotide ribosomal RNA is filed under the name uncultured bacterium. Its description in RNAcentral is "bacterial SSU rRNA". It matches the Rfam family "Bacterial small subunit ribosomal RNA", at positions 28 to 419 of the family's 1533-position model. The record is from RNAcentral.
GACGAACGCUGGCGGCGUGCUUAACACAUGCAAGUCGAGCGGUAAGGCCCUUUCGGGGGUACACGAGCGGCGAACGGGUGAGUAACACGUGGGUGACCUGCCCUUAGCUCUGGGAUAAGCCUGGGAAACUGGGUCUAAUACCGGAUACGACCUCAUGACUCAUGUUGUGGGGUGGAAAGCCUUGUGCGGCUAGGGAUGGGCCCGCGGUCUAUCAGCUUGUUGGUGGGGUAAUUGCCUACCAAGGCGACGACGGGUAGCCGGCCUGAGAGGGCGACCGGCCACACUGGGACUGAGACACGGCCCAGACUCCUACGGGAGGCAGCAGUGGGGAAUCUUGCGCAAUGGGCGAAAGCCUGACGCAGCGACGCCGCGUGAGGGAUGACGGCCUGG